GACGAACGCUGGCGGCGUGCUUAACACAUGCAAGUCGAACGGAAAGCCCCUGCUUUUUUGGUGUGCGCGAGUGGCGAUCGGGUGAGUAAGGCGGGAGUAACCGUCCCUUGAGUUUGGGAUGACUUCAGGAGACUGGGGCUAGUAGCGGAUAGGAGCUCAUGCUGCAUGGGGGGGGUUGGAAAGUUGAGGCGGUUGGGGAUAGACUCGCGGCUUAUCAGCUUGUUGGGGGGGUAGUGGCUUACCAAGGCUUUGACGGGUAGCCGGCCUGAGAGGGUUACCGGACACACUGGGACUGGGAUAAGGCACAGCCUCAUCUGGGAGGGAGAAGUGGGGAAUAUUGCAUAACGGGCUGAAGCAUGACGCAGCACAGCGGCGUGGCGGAUGACGGCCUUCGGGUUGUAAUCUGAAUUCGCCUCUGAAGAAGCGUGAGUGACGGUAAUGGGUAAAGAAGCACCGGCUAAAUACGUG
Molecule: ribosomal RNA, 468 nt
Filed under: uncultured bacterium
Lineage: Bacteria
Description: partial 16S ribosomal RNA
Rfam family: Bacterial small subunit ribosomal RNA
Source: RNAcentral